CCUACGGGUGGCUGCAGUGGGGAAUAUUGCACAAUGGGGGAAACCCUGAUGCAGCAACGCCGCGUGAGUGAAGGAGUAUUUCGGUAUGUAAAGCUCUAUCAGUAGGGAAGAAGAAAGACGGUACCUGACUAAGAAGCCCCGGCUAACUACGUGCCAGCAGCCGCGGUAAUACGUAGGGGGCAAGCGUUAUCCGGAUUUACUGGGUGUAAAGGGAGCGUAGACGGCUGUGCAAGUCUGAAGUGAAAGCCCGUGGCUCAACCGCGGAACUGCUUUGGAAACUGUAUGGCUUGAGUACUGGAGAGGCAGGCGGAAUUCCUAGUGUAGCGGUGAAAUGCGUAGAUAUUAGGAGGAACACCAGUGGCGAAGGCGGCUUACCAAGCUACUUCUGACGUUGAGGCACGAAAGCGUGGGGAGCAAACAGGAUUAGAUACCCCAGUAGUC
Molecule: ribosomal RNA, 441 nt
Filed under: uncultured bacterium
Lineage: Bacteria
Description: partial 16S ribosomal RNA
Rfam family: Bacterial small subunit ribosomal RNA
Source: RNAcentral